RNAcentral lists this ribosomal RNA (439 nucleotides) under uncultured bacterium. Its description in RNAcentral is "partial 16S ribosomal RNA". It matches the Rfam family "Bacterial small subunit ribosomal RNA", at positions 339 to 795 of the family's 1533-position model. The record is from RNAcentral.
CUACGGGUGGCACCAGUGAGGAAUAUUGCACAAUGGGGGGAACCCUGAUGCAGCAACGCCGCGUGGAGGAUGACGCAUUUCGGUGUGUAAACUCCUUUUAUAUGUCAGGAAAAUGACGGUAGCAUAUGAAUAAGCACCGGCUAACUCCGUGCCAGCAGCCGCGGUAAUACGGAGGGUGCAAGCGUUACUCGGAAUCACUGGGCGUAAAGGACGCGUAGGCGGGUUGGAAAGUCAGGUGUGAAAUCCUACAGCUUAACUGUAGAACUGCACUUGAAACUUCUAAUCUAGAGUAUGGGAGGGGGAGAUGGAAUUAGUGGUGUAGGGGUAAAAUCCGUAGAUAUCACUAGGAAUACCUAAAGCGAAGGCGAUCUCCUGGAACAUUACUGACGCUAAGGCGUGAAAGCGUGGGGAGCAAACAGAAUUAGAUACCCGGGUAGUC